This 2031-nucleotide long non-coding RNA is filed under the name Phoenix dactylifera (date palm). Its description in RNAcentral is "long non-coding RNA (PDAC_LNC002846)". The record is from RNAcentral. Lineage: Eukaryota; Viridiplantae; Streptophyta; Magnoliopsida; Arecales; Arecaceae.
CGAGUUCGAUUCGAACUCUAGGAUCGCGCCUAUAAAUCUCCCUUUCUUCUCCUCCGAUUUCCACCACUAGAACCGCCAGAAGGUGCCACCGAUUUCAAGUAUUCCUCUCCGAGCCUUCACCUCGAUUCCUCGCCGGAAAACCUCGCCGAAUCGUCGUAGGACCGAGGUACGACCUGAGCUACCCUCUCUCUCGUUUCUAUGGUUUCUUUGGAGCCUAUGGACCGGCCGAAGGUCGCCGGAUUUGGACAGAGUGCUUGGGAAGCUCUGUUAUCCCCCGUUUUCAGAAGCUAAGUCUUCUUCAAUCUCUAUUCGUCACCGACGCAUGUCGCCGGGGCCUUCCCCUUGCUCUUCUCGGUGGUCGGAGGCUCCCUUCCCCCAGUUCCUCUCGGUGGCCUGAGGCCAUGGCCAAGGUCCCGGCCACGGGAUGCCUUUGUUCCACGGUUUAAGGGGUCAUAACCCCUAUUCAUCUUAUGGGCCCGGUGCCGCCAGCGACACUAUGGGUCGUCGGCCGCCAGGGGUCGCUGACCAUAGGCGGCUGCCGCUGCCGAGCACCUAUUCGGGAAGAAGAGAGGGCCUCACAACACUCUUCUUCUUCUCAUAUUUCUUCUCUCCUCUCUCUUGAUUUCUCUCUCUAUCCGAAUUAUUUUUUGCCCUAGAUUCUCUCUCUAGUUGGGGUUCUCUCUCUCUAAACUUGGAUCCAGAGAGAUCAUUGUUUUGAGGGUUCUGGAUUGUCAUAUAUCUUGGAUAAUUUUUAAUGAUGACUUGGUUCUAUAGGAAAACAAUCUGUUGAACGAGAGGACGCUGAGCGGGAUUCUGCGCAUCCCAGUUCAUAGAUCGUUGUGAGGGCGGAUGAUUAGUCUGUCUGAGUUUUUCAACAAAAUGUAAGAAUCUUUGUACGCCAAUCCUGUAUGAUAUAAAUAUUUUUACACCUGUUUAUGUAUGAUAUUCGAUGAUCCAGAUAAGUAAGAAGCAAGAAUAAUUUUAUAUUAAAUUAUAUUUUGAUUGUAUUCACUUAUGGUUGGUAUCAUGAUGGAUGCAUGCAUGCGCAUAACCUACACCUACAUAAUUGAAUUUAUGGAUGUGGUGCUCUAGACUAACUUUGAUAUUAUUUGAUUGCCCGUCGUGGGCUGGAAACGUGACCGUGGUUAAUCUAAAGCUGAAAAUUAAUAAAAAGGAUUGACGUGUGGAUGUGAAAUUGAUUAAAUAAACAUUGACUUUGGGUCGUCUUGUUCCUAUUGGUUUGUCCGUCACAGGCUCUAAGUGUGACAAUAUAGGUUUGCCCGUCACAGGCUCUAAGUGUGACAAUAUGGGUUUAUCCGUCACAGGCUCUAAGUGUGACACUAUUGGUUUGCCCGUCACAGGCUCUAAGUGUGACAAUAUUCGUUUGUCUAUCACAGGCUCUAAGUAUGACACUAUUGGUUUGCCCAUCACAAGCGCUAAGUGUGAUACUAUUGGUUUGCUCAUCACAAGCUCUAAGUGUGACAAUAUUGGUUUGCCCGUCACAGGCUCUAAGUGUGACACUAUUGGUUUGCCCCGUCACGGGCUGAAAACGUGACCGGAAUGUGGCCCAAAGUUAGAAAAAUAAUUGAUCCAGAUCAAGUUGAAAGAAAAAGCAUUGAAAACAGUAAUGAAGAUUUAUGAGCUAUCAUACGCAAUAUUAUUCUUGUGUGGCUAGAUUUUUAUUGAUGUUUGACGUACAUACUUAUAUUGUUUAUUUGAGGCUCUUGAUAUCCGGUUUAUGAUUUCAUGAUAUGUGCAUCGAUUUCUUGUGGUUUUCAAAUUCAUAUUAUUAUUGUAUUGGUAUGGAUGUGUAGGAAUUCUUACUAGACUGUAAAGCUCACCUCCCUUCUUCUUUCCCUUUUCAGAGUUGCAGGAUGUAUAGGCAUGGAUGGGUUGGGCGCGGAGUGCGAGUGUCAGAGUCAUCAAUUAGUUAGAUAAUUUAAUUGAUACCGAUGAAUAUUGAAAGUUCUUAUAAUUGAACAAAUUUGAUUAUCUGGACAUGUUGGAUUUGUCUAUUUAAAUUAAUUAAUU